AGCUCCAAUAGCGUAUAUUAAAGUUGUUGCAGUUAAAAAGCUCGUAGUUGGAUUUCUGGCGGGAGCAGCCAGUCCUGCCUCUUGCGAGGUUGUGCACUAGCGCUGUAUCCGGCCAUCCUUGUGGAGAACGUUUCUGGCAUUAAGUUGUUGGUCUCGGGAUCUGCAUCGUUUACUGUGAAAAAAUUAGAGUGUUUAAAGCAGGCAUUUGCUUGAAUACAUUAGCAUGGAAUAAUAAGAUAGGACUUUGGUACUAUUUUGUUGGUUUGCGCACCAAGGUAAUGAUUAAUAGGGAUAGUUGGGGGUAUUCAUAUUUAAUUGUCAGAGGUGAAAUUCUUGGAUUUAUGAAAGAUGAACUUAUGCGAAAGCAUUUACCAUGGAUGUUUUCAUUA
This 389-nucleotide ribosomal RNA is filed under the name Oblongichytrium sp. Its description in RNAcentral is "SSU rRNA". It matches the Rfam family "Eukaryotic small subunit ribosomal RNA", at positions 587 to 975 of the family's 1831-position model. Lineage: Eukaryota; Bigyra; Oblongichytrida. The record is from RNAcentral.